This 253-nucleotide ribosomal RNA is filed under the name uncultured bacterium. RNAcentral's name for it is "partial 16S ribosomal RNA". It matches the Rfam family "Bacterial small subunit ribosomal RNA", at positions 524 to 776 of the family's 1533-position model. The record is from RNAcentral.
UACGAAGGGGGCUAGCGUUGCUCGGAAUCACUGGGCGUAAAGGGUGCGUAGGCGGGUUAUUAAGUCAGAGGUGAAAUCCUGGAGCUCAACUCCAGAACUGCCUUUGAUACUGAUAGUCUUGAGUAUGGGAGAGGUGAGUGGAACUGCGAGUGUAGAGGUGAAAUUCGUAGAUAUUCGCAAGAACACCAGUGGCGAAGGCGGCUCACUGGCCCAUUACUGACGCUGAGGAGCGAAAGCGUGGGGAGCGAACAGG